GGGGUGUGCUCAGAGCAGGGGGCCUGAAGAAAUGGCCCCUCUGUUUACAACACACCCAACAGAAAUCUGGGUUCAUUGAGACAAGGGGCACAAAACCUGUGGCCUUGCUAUGAACAAAUACCCUACAUGC
Molecule: small nucleolar RNA, 130 nt
Organism: Ailuropoda melanoleuca (giant panda)
Lineage: Eukaryota; Metazoa; Chordata; Mammalia; Carnivora; Ursidae
Source: Ensembl